This 377-nucleotide long non-coding RNA is filed under the name Danio rerio (zebrafish). Its description in RNAcentral is "lncRNA (ENSDARG00000117780.1)". Lineage: Eukaryota; Metazoa; Chordata; Actinopteri; Cypriniformes; Danionidae. The record is from RNAcentral.
UACUAGUUUUUAGUAUAUGUGCAUUGAUCAUAUACUUUAUUCAUAAAUAACUGCUGUUUGUCUACAAAGGUCUCCAUUUCCAAAGAUUGCUAUAAAAGAGUUAAUCUGCCUUCCAUCAUGUCAGCUGUCCAAGCCAUCCAAAGCGGCUGGCCUGCGGCAGAGGUGCACAGUUAAUAAAAGGAGAGCACACAGAUGCAGUAACUCUACACUAGAGGGCGCCGGAGGUUCACGCUGGGUGGGCAUUGCCUUUAAUCCCAUUCCAAAACCCAGCACACAUUCCCUGUCCCGCAGCUUUCCCUUCAGAGGUGAGUGUUGGUGCUUUUGCGGCCAGAUGAACAAUAUUAAAUUAAAUAAAUCCUCAGUUUAGUAGUUUAAAU